Molecule: non-coding RNA, 1788 nt
Organism: Python bivittatus (Burmese python)
Lineage: Eukaryota; Metazoa; Chordata; Lepidosauria; Squamata; Pythonidae
Source: RefSeq, a predicted model, not a curated record
UCAUUAUUCUAUGUUUAACACAGCAGAAGCAACAAAAAGUAUUUUUUACUUUGGUUGUCUUGCAGACAGCAUGCAAAUUUAUAGCAUAAUUUAUUUCUAAGUGAAUAAUUGUAGGAUUUUGGUGCUAAGGUAUAUUUUCUCCUGAUUCUUACCUGUGGUUUGUUCAAUCAACCCAGUUUUUCCCAACAGAUUCACUGAAACAGAACUAAACCUGGCAGCUUGAUUUGCCUGACAUGCUAGGCUAAAAUCUGAUCAGCUUUUAUGGUUCAGUCUAUCCUUGAACACAGCCAGUAUCUGACAGUCUUUCAAGGAUGGCUGCUUAGAAACAAGCAGUAUGCCUAUCUGACUGGUCUGCCUUCUGUGUGCAAAUUCAUAUUGCUUAAAGGAAGAUUUGGCCUUGGUGCAACUGGAGAAGGAAAUCAGUCGCCCCUUAAUUUUUAUCUUAAUUGUUCACAUGACAUGUGAUGCCUAAAUGAGCCAACCAAAUUUAGUCAAGUUGUGAGAAUCCAGCCUGAGUGAUAGCUGGGAUUUGAUGCUGGGCAAACCCAGAAUAUUGACUUGAUUGACCAAAUUGUGGUUCAGGGAGCCAUGAGUAACUGUUUGAGCACAGUUCAAACAUUGAAUUUAUUUAUAGGGUACGUCAAGAGGAAGGCCGAUCCUAAUUUUACUACAAAACUGCUUAGAAAACCGAUGGAAUCAAUGUAUUUUUUAAAAAAUUCAGUACCUGUAUUGCUAAUAAGGCAGAUAUUUGUUAUUUUCAAUGACUUGGCUAUUCCUUCAUUAGUCAUGGUUUAUUGAAUUGGCUUGGUUUGCACAACAUAGCUAUACAAAACACGGGAAUGGAGUCAUACAAUGUGCUAAGCAAAGAUAAAACCAACCAGGUUACAUAAUGGAACAGAUUGCCUCAGGAGGUGUUGGAUUCUCAGAAGUGUUUGAAUAGGUUGGCUGGUCAUUUAUGAGGGAUGAUGUAGUGAUGGACACCUAGACUGCCCAGAAGGUUGGGCUAGAUGAUCUUCAAGGCCUUUCCUUAGACUGUAUGAUUCUACACUAAAGCUAUGCUAAAGCAUGUUCUGUGAAUUAGUACAGUACAACCAUGUAGCUUUUCAGAUACACUAUAUUGAUUCCCCUCCUUAUCUGAACAUCUUGUUAAAUGACCUCUUUUAUGUUUUAGGGGAUCUUUGGAUUCUGGAAACUGGAAGACAGUUUGAGGCCUUGUUUCUCAUUGACAUGGGCAGACAACAUGCCUGCACGUUGAUUACUAGUACUGAUGGUCUCAUAUAUUCUGUGAGGUGGAAGAAAAAGCAAUUUUAUAUCUACAGACGGCACAAAAAUGAAGAAAACAUAAAUGGAAGUUCUAAUAAUAGGAGAAGGAAGAGGAAGAAAAGAUAUAAAUACACGCAGAAACUCACAAUUUGAAACCCACACCAGUAGGGGGUGAUCUUUCCUAUGAGUAUCAUAUAAAUUGAGAUAAGAAAGGAACUCAAGGCAAUGCUCGUGAGUGAGCUAUUCAGCAACAGCCCUGUGAGGAAGUCAAGCCCAAAGCCUGCCCUGCCGCCCGUCUUUCUGCGCAGCCCUGAGGUCUGGGAACCACACGCUUUACCCGCCCUCUGGCAGCUUUCGCAGGCCAGUCGGGCUGCUCCCCCCUCCCCUUUCGCUCUGUCUGUGUGCGCCCGCGCGCAUGUGCGUGGCUUCGCUCGCCUUUUGCAGAACGGCGAGGAGGAGGAGGAGGAGAAGCGAGCCGGGGGAGGCGGCGCCGGUUCCUGGAAGAGCCCAGCCUGGGGAGUUGGU